GGUGGCUCAGUGGGAGAGUGCUUGCCUUGCAUGCAUGAGGGCCUGGGUUCAAUUCUCAGCACCA
RNAcentral lists this transfer RNA (64 nucleotides) under Dipodomys ordii (Ord's kangaroo rat). It matches the Rfam family "tRNA". From Rfam's summary of the family: Transfer RNA (tRNA) molecules are approximately 80 nucleotides in length. Their secondary structure includes four short double-helical elements and three loops (D, anti-codon, and T loops). Lineage: Eukaryota; Metazoa; Chordata; Mammalia; Rodentia; Heteromyidae. The record is from Rfam by way of RNAcentral.